UACGUAGGGGGCUAGCGUUAUCCGGAAUUACUGGGCGUAAAGGGUGCGUAGGUGGUUUCUUAAGUCAGAGGUGAAAGGCUACGGCUCAACCGUAGUAAGCCUUUGAAACUGGGGAACUUGAGUGCAGGAGAGGAGGGUGGAAUUCCUAGUGUAGCGGUGAAAUGCGUAGAUAUUAGGAGGAACACCAGUUGCGAAGGCGGCUCUCUGGACUGUAACUGACACUGAGGCACGAAAGCGUGGGGAGCAAAUAGG
Molecule: ribosomal RNA, 252 nt
Filed under: uncultured bacterium
Lineage: Bacteria
Description: partial 16S ribosomal RNA
Rfam family: Bacterial small subunit ribosomal RNA
Source: RNAcentral